GCCCUAGUAACGGCGAGUGAAGCGGCAACAGCUCAAAUUUGAAAUCUGGCUCUUUCAGGGUCCGAGUUGUAAUUUGCAGAGGGCGCUUUGGCGUUGGCAGCGGUCCAAGUUCUUUGGAACAGGACGUCACAGAGGGUGAGAAUCCCGUACGUGGUCGCUAGCCUUCGCCGUGUAAAGCCCCUUCGACGAGUCGAGUUGUUUGGGAAUGCAGCUCUAAAUGGGAGGUAAAUUUCUUCUAAAGCUAAAUACUGGCCAGAGACCGAUAGCGCACAAGUAGAGUGAUCGAAAGAUGAAAAGCACUUUGGAAAGAGAGUCAAAUAGCACGUGAAAUUGUUGAAAGGGAAGCGCUUGCAGCCAGACUUGCCUGUAGUUGCUUAUCCGGACUUUUGUCCGGUGCACUCUUCUGCGGGCAGGCCAGCAUCAGUUUAGGCGGUUGGAUAAAGGUCUCUGUCAUGUACCUCUCUUCGGGGAGGCCUUAUAGGGGAGACGACAUGCAACCAGCCUGGACUGAGGUCCGCGCAUCUGCUAGGAUGCUGGCGUAAUGGCUGUAAGCGGCCCGUCUUGAAACACGGACCAAGGAGUCUAACAUCUAUGCGAGUGUUUGGGUGUCAAGCCCAGACGCGUAAUGAAAGUGAACGGAGGUGGGAACCCUUUGGGUGCACCAUCGACCGAUCCUGAUGUCUUCGGAUGGAUUUGAGUAAGAGCAUGGCUGUUGGGACCCGAAAGAUGGUGAACUAUGCUUGAAUAGGGUGAAGCCAGAGGAAACUCUGGUGGAGGCUCGCAGCGGUUCUGACGUGCAAAUCGAUCGUCAAAUUUGGGCAUAGGGGCAAUCGAAAAUCGAAGAAAGACUAAUCG
RNAcentral lists this ribosomal RNA (855 nucleotides) under Neosetophoma italica. Its description in RNAcentral is "eukaryotic LSU rRNA". It matches the Rfam family "Eukaryotic large subunit ribosomal RNA", at positions 77 to 937 of the family's 3401-position model. Lineage: Eukaryota; Fungi; Ascomycota; Dothideomycetes; Pleosporales; Phaeosphaeriaceae. The record is from RNAcentral.